GAUGAACGCUAGCGGAAGGCUUAAUACAUGCAAGUCGAGCGGUAGGUGGCUUCGGCCAUUAAGAGCGGCGCACGGGUGAGUAACGCGUACAUGACCUGCCUGUCAGAAGGGGAUAGCCCUGGGAAACUGGGAUUAAUACCCUAUGGUAUUGAUAUUAUGAAUGAUAUCAAUUAAAGUUGAGGCGCUGACAGAUGGAUGUGCGUCUGAUUAGCUAGUUGGUAGGGUAACGGCCUACCAAGGCGACGAUCAGUAGGGGGCGUGAGAGCGUGGUCCCCCACACGGGUACUGAGACACGGACCCGACUCCUACGGGAGGCAGCAGUAAGGAAUAUUGGUCAAUGCCCGCAAGGGUGAACCAGCCAUUCCGCGUAGAGGAUGAAGGCCCUAUGGGUUGUAAACUUCUUUUAGAUGGGAAGAAAAUGCUAGAUGUAUCUGGUACUGACGGUACCAUCAGAAUAAGCACCGGCUAACUCCGUGCCAGCAGCCCGGU
This 489-nucleotide ribosomal RNA is filed under the name uncultured bacterium. RNAcentral's name for it is "bacterial SSU rRNA". It matches the Rfam family "Bacterial small subunit ribosomal RNA", at positions 28 to 521 of the family's 1533-position model. The record is from RNAcentral.